Small nuclear RNA from Cyprinus carpio (common carp), 157 nucleotides. RefSeq annotates it as U12 minor spliceosomal RNA. The record is from RefSeq and is a predicted model, not a curated record. The transcript has a single exon. NCBI's taxonomy places the organism in Eukaryota, Metazoa, Chordata, Actinopteri, Cypriniformes, Cyprinidae.
AUGCCUUAAAACUGAUGAGUAAGGAAAAUAACGACGGCGGGGUGACGCCCGUGUUCUCGCAGACUCUCGCGAGGAGAAUUUUUGUAAGGGCACAGGUCCGUCUGUGAGGUGACUCACCCUACUUAGUGAGAUCUCAGCAGAGCCAGGGUCGUGCCCU